This 542-nucleotide long non-coding RNA is filed under the name Phoenix dactylifera (date palm). Its description in RNAcentral is "long non-coding RNA (PDAC_LNC005118)". The record is from RNAcentral. Lineage: Eukaryota; Viridiplantae; Streptophyta; Magnoliopsida; Arecales; Arecaceae.
UGUAGAUGAUAUCUUUUGAAGUAUUAAAAAAUUAAAAGUAAAUAUUUAUGACCUACUAGUUUUCAAUUUAUCUUGUAUAACCUUCGCAAAACUUCUUCAGUUGCAAUCACCUCCCCGGUUAAUGAGUGGUAACCAAUUCCCGUCUCUUUUAUCAACUUAGCGAAAUCUCAUUUCCAAGUCCUCAAUUAGUUGAACUUGUUUCUAAGUUGUACAUCCGUAUAGUUUUUGUGAGGAUCUGUGCGGGCGUAUGUUUAGUCCCACAUCGGUUAUUCGCUGGGUAGAUCUUAGGUACUUAUACAGAAUCAAGGAACCCAAAUAAUAACUUCCGGCUAGCCAUUUUGGGUGAGAUCCUGGGUUGUUACAAAUGGUAUCAGAGCGGACCCGACCCAUAACUUAUGUGGACUAGGGGACACUGCAGCACGGAUCCAUUGGAGUUGACCACGGACCGAUCGUGGUGUUUGUGAUUAGAUUUGAAUGGAUUUGAACCCUUAGCCUGACGAGGACGUCAGGGCUUGAACGGGGGGAGUAUGUGAGGAUCCGUG